This is a long non-coding RNA of Etheostoma cragini (Arkansas darter), 110 nucleotides long. RefSeq lists it as uncharacterized. The record is from RefSeq and is a predicted model, not a curated record. Lineage: Eukaryota; Metazoa; Chordata; Actinopteri; Perciformes; Percidae. The transcript has 3 exons.
GCUGGCUUUAAUCAUGUUGGUAGUCUCACAUUGUUAGACCUUCCUCCACAGCGCUCCGGAGAAGGGUCUGGCUAGUCCACUCAGCAUUGCGGGAUGGAAACAACGUGGCC